Non-coding RNA from Vigna umbellata (rice bean), 1596 nucleotides. Lineage: Eukaryota; Viridiplantae; Streptophyta; Magnoliopsida; Fabales; Fabaceae. The record is from RefSeq and is a predicted model, not a curated record.
ACAGAGAAAUCAAAUAUGGGUUGAGCGGGAAGUGAGUGAGGGUUUUGGUGGGAAUAUGGAUUUUGGAUGUUCAGAAGUGAAGGUGUGGAAGGAAGCACUCGCUGCAUACCAAUCUCGAAUUCAAACGCUCUCUCUCACAAAAAACAAACCCAAUUUGAUUUCUCUCGAUGAAUUCUACUGCAACCAGCUACCUUCCAUCCUUCGCCAACGAAACCCUAACCCCUUUCUCACAACUUCAGAACUCUCCAGUCUCAUGCAAUGGAAGCUCACGCGCGGCAAGUGGAGGCCGCGUCUGUUGGAUUUCGUUUCGUCCCUAGACGACGCCGUUGUGAAAUCCGCUUCUGAGAAGGCAUUUCAGAGCCUUCCCGAUGUUUCGGAAGCCGUCGCUGAACUCACUGUAUUGAAAGGCGUUGGUCCCGCCACCGCCUCUGCCGUUUUGGCUGCUUUCUCUCCGCACUUAACCCCUUUCAUGUCUGACGAGGCUAUGGAGGCAGCUCUUGGAAACUCAAAAGAUUAUUCUCUGAAGCAAUAUCUAAAGUUUGUAGAUAAGUUGCAGAUGAAAGCGAAGGAACUAAGUUCAGAAAGUGACUCCUUUACCCCAUCUGAUGUAGAAAGGGCGUUGUGGAGUUAUGCUGCGGGGAAAUCAUCAUCAACGCAAUCAAAUCAGGACCCUAAGACCAAACCAAUCAAGAGCUCUAAAAGGAAGAGAAAAAAUUGACAUUAGUAGCAGAGCAACAAUGAAUUUACAAUUUUGGCGAAGCCCCAAAGCCCACCACAUUCACCUACUUUCCUGGAAACAUGACAUUGAAGGCGGCUUUGACAUGUUCUCUGGCUCUGUGGUCAACCUCUUCCCCUCCGCCAUUGGUGCUGGCAUCAAGCAACUGGUGCUGGUAUGCUUGUGCUGUACACAGGCGUUUGGUGGCCUUGGUUGGAAUGUAUUGUCGCUUUGCUUCAUCAUAAACAAUGUUGCAAUGCUGGUCGUGUAAAUGGUUAUCAUAGGUGAUGUGUUCUGAAGAUCAUGUUCAUGAGUGCACAAUUCAAGGGUUUUGGAAGAAUGAUUUGAUCAAUGCUGGUGCCUCUUUUAUCGUUCAGGUGUUUGAUUUAUACUAUAAUGAAUUCGAAGAUCCUUCCCAAAUGAAGGCCAUAGUCCGGACCAUUACUGUGCUCAUCUGUGCACAUAGUAACCACCUUAUUUGGUUUUUUCUUAUGUGGGGACAGAACAUUGGGUGAUAUCUUGGAGUACCUUAUGGUUCUUUUCUUACUGAUAUAAUUUGAGUGAGCUAUGACAUUAACCUUAUUCUUGUGUUUCCAAUUGUGUUUUUGUCCUUUGACCUCAAACCUAGGUGGUCUUCGUUUCCACAUGCCAUUCCUCUUGUCUAUGACACCAAGAGAUUCUAUUUUGUAAGCACAGUUCUCAUGGCUUGCAUUUUUGUUGAAGCCAAUUUUGUUUCCAGCAUCUGGGAUGCCUUCCAGUUUCAUAGGGGCCACAGCUGCUAUUUCUGCUGGAACAUUUUUCCAGCUGCUAUUGCUUAGGUAUAUGUAUGCAUGGAAAAGUUCUUCAAUAUACAUGAGAAAAAGAUAACAACUAUAAAUGCA